RNAcentral lists this long non-coding RNA (206 nucleotides) under Lathyrus oleraceus (garden pea). Its description in RNAcentral is "Pisum sativum (pea) long non-coding RNA (PSAT_LNC001682)". The record is from RNAcentral. Lineage: Eukaryota; Viridiplantae; Streptophyta; Magnoliopsida; Fabales; Fabaceae.
UCUGCUUGGUUCGUUGUCUUCAGCCCCAACACUGGUGAUAGUGUCGACGGUCAUAAUCUCCCGCUUGGUUUUCUAUCUUCAACCCCAACACUAGUGAUAGUGUCAUCGAUCAUAAUCUCCAUUGGUUCGGCAAACAAAGCAUUAGUUUUUUUUUUUCAUUCUCCUCCUUUGGGCGUGGCUUCUAUUUGUCAACAAACUUGAGUCUG